GAACGCUGGCGGCGUGCUUAACACAUGCAAGUCGAACGGAAAGGCCCUGCUUUUGUGGGGUGCUCGAGUGGCGAACGGGUGAGUAACACGUGAGUAACCUGCCCUUGACUUUGGGAUAACUUCAGGAAACUGGGGCUAAUACCGGAUAGGAGCUCCUGCUGCAUGGUGGGGGUUGGAAAGCUUCGGCGGUUGGGGAUGGACUCGCGGCUUAUCAGCUUGUUGGUGGGGUAGUGGCUUACCAAGGCUUUGACGGGUAGCCGGCCUGAGAGGGUGACCGGCCACAUUGGGACUGAGAUACGGCCCAGACUCCUACGGGAGGCAGCAGUGGGGAAUAUUGCACAAUGGGCGGAAGCCUGAUGCAGCAACGCCGCGUGCGGGAUGACGGCCUUCGGGUUGUAAACCGCUUUCGCCUGUGACGAAGCGUGAGUGACGGUAAUGGGUAAAGAAGCACCGGCUAACUACGUG
RNAcentral lists this ribosomal RNA (465 nucleotides) under uncultured bacterium. RNAcentral's name for it is "partial 16S ribosomal RNA". It matches the Rfam family "Bacterial small subunit ribosomal RNA", at positions 31 to 507 of the family's 1533-position model. The record is from RNAcentral.